RNAcentral lists this ribosomal RNA (236 nucleotides) under uncultured bacterium. Its description in RNAcentral is "partial 16S ribosomal RNA". It matches the Rfam family "Bacterial small subunit ribosomal RNA", at positions 118 to 351 of the family's 1533-position model. The record is from RNAcentral.
UGAGGAACAUGACCUUCGGCGGGGGAUAGCCGGCCCAACGGCCGGGUAAUACCGCGUACGACCUUUUGGGGACAUCCCCGAUUGGUGAAAGCAGCAAUGCGCCGAAAGAGUGCCUCGCGGCCUAUCAGCUAGUUGGUGGGGUAACGGCUCACCAAGGCGACGACGGGUAGCUGGUCUGAGAGGAUGGCCAGCCACAUUGGGACUGAGACACGGCCCAGACUCCUACGGGGAGGCAG